RNAcentral lists this long non-coding RNA (278 nucleotides) under Equus caballus (horse). Its description in RNAcentral is "lncRNA (ENSECAG00000038246.2)". The record is from RNAcentral. Lineage: Eukaryota; Metazoa; Chordata; Mammalia; Perissodactyla; Equidae.
CAGAGGGUCAGGACGGGUUCCAGGACCUCUUGAAUCGCAUCUGAAACUUGUUCCCUGUGCUCCUUUCUCCUCCCUGUUCUUACAACUGGCCAACUGGGAUUACACAACGCGCACUAAUUUUAUUCUGCAUGUGGCUGUUUCUUAUUAGGAGCCUGUACCUUAUUUUUUCCUGUGCCAUGUCAGCCCUCCCGAUUCAGGUUCCGGCUCAGUCACGUCUGCCAAUGGUUAGAUUCUCGUGGCAGGGAAAUGCUCACUUCUGUUGUGCAACCAUCGGACCC